Molecule: ribosomal RNA, 253 nt
Filed under: uncultured bacterium
Lineage: Bacteria
Description: partial 16S ribosomal RNA
Rfam family: Bacterial small subunit ribosomal RNA
Source: RNAcentral
UACGGAGGAUCCGAGCGUUAUCCGGAUUUAUUGGGUGUAAAGGGCGUGUAGGCGGGAGCGCAAGUCAGAUGUGAAAACUCAGGGCUCAACCCUGAGCCUGCAUUUGAAACUGUGUUUCUUGAGUGCAGAAGAGGAGAGUGGAACUCCAUGUGUAGCGGUGGAAUGCGUAGAUAUAUGGAAGAACACCAGUGGCGAAGGCGGCUCUCUGGUCUGUAACUGACGCUGAGGCUCGAAAGCAUGGGUAGCGAACAGG